GGUCAAGCUAACAAGAGCGUACGGUGGAUGCCUGGGCGCUAAGGGCCGAAGAAGGACGUGGUAAGCUGCGAAAAGCUACGGUGAGCCGCAAGCAGGCAUAGAUCCGUAGAUCUCCGAAUGGGGCAACCCGUUACCUGUAACGAGGUAACAUCUUAUGCUGAAUCCAUAGGCAUAAGAAGGGCACCCGGUGAACUGAAACAUCUAAGUAGCCGGAGGAACAGAAAUCAACCGAGAACCCCCAAGUAGCGGCGAGCGAACCGGGGCCAGCCUAAACCUAUUUUGCGUGCAAAAUAGGGGUUGCGGGACUCUCGAAAGCGGACUAAUAGCCUUAGCCGAACCCGCCAGGAACGGCGGGCCACAGAAGGUAACAGCCCUGUAGGCGAAAAGGCAACGAGUUUAGAGAGCAUCCCAAGUACCGCGGGACACGUGAAACCCCGUGGGAAUCAGGGAGGACCACCUUCCAAGGCUAAAUACCCUUAGCGACCGAUAGCGCACAAGUACCGUGAGGGAAAGGUGAAAAGCACCCCGGGAGGGGAGUGAAAUAGAACCUGAAACCGUACGCUUACAAUCAGUCAUAGCACUAUUUAACGUGUAAUGGCGUACUUUUUGUAGAACGGACCGGCGAGUUACAUUUAGCGUGCCAGGUUAAGGCUGACAAAGGCCGUCAACCGCAGCGAAAGCAAGUCUUAAUAGGGCGCAAUAGUACGCUGAAGUAGACCCGAAACCGGGUGAUCUACCCAUGUCCAGAGUGAAGCGGAAGUAACAUUUCGUGGAGGCUCGAACCAACCGUCGUUGAAAAGGCGGUGGAUGAGGUGUGGGUAGGGGUGAAAUGCCAAUCGAACCCGGAGAUAGCUGGUUCUCCCCGAAAUAGCUUUAGGGCUAGCCUUGUACAAAAUACCCGGAGGUAGAGCACUGAAUGGGCUAGGGGCCUUCACCGGUUACCGAACUCAAUCAAACUGCGAAUGCCGGGCUAUUAAAGUACAGGAGUCAGACUGCGGGUGCUAAGAUUCGUAGUCGAGAGGGAAACAGCCCAGACCGCCAGUUAAGGUCCCUAAAUCGUGCUAAGUGGCAAAGGAUGUGAGGUUGCCCGGACAACCAGGAUGUUGGCUUAGAAGCAGCCACCAUUUAAAGAGUGCGUAAUAGCUCACUGGUCAAGUGACCUUGCGCCGAAAAUGUAACGGGGCUCAAGCACGAUACCGAAACUGCGGAAUUCAUUAUGAAUUGGUAGGGGAGCGUUCCCAUUGGAUUGAAGCUAUACCGUAAGGAGUAGUGGACUAAUGGGAAGUGAGAAUGCCGGUAUAAGUAAGCGCAAAGGCAGGUGAGAAUCCUGCCCGCCGAAAACCUAAGGAUUCCUGGGGAAGGCUCGUCCGCCCAGGGUAAGUCGGGCCCUAAGCCGAGGCUGAAAAGCGUAGGCGAUGGACAAUCGGUGGAGAAUCCGAUACCACCUUAAAGCCGCUAUUAGGAUGGGGUGACACAGGAGGGCAAGCCAAGCGCGCGGUUGGAAAAGCGCGUCCAAGCCCGUAGGGCGAACUGCAGGCAAAACCGCAGUUCAUACAGCCUGAGAGGUUAUGGGGAGCGAAAAUAAGUAGCGAAGUGGCUGCACCCAAACUGUCAAGAAAAACCUCUAACGAGGCUAUAAGGUGCCCGUACCGCAAACCGACACAGGUAGGUGGGGUGAGAAUCCUAAGGCGCGCGAGAAAACCCUCGUUAAGGAACUCGGCAAAAUGACCCCGUAACUUCGGGAGAAGGGGUACCCCAUUAAUGUGAAAGUUAUCCAACUGGAGCAUGAAGGGGUCGCAGAGAAAAGGCCCAAGCGACUGUUUACCAAAAACACAGGUUCCUGCUAAAUCGCAAGAUGACGUAUAGGAGCUGACGCCUGCCCGGUGCUGGAAGGUUAAGGGGAGAGGUUAGCGCAAGCGAAGCUUUAAACCGAAGCCCCAGUAAACGGCGGCCGUAACUAUAACGGUCCUAAGGUAGCGAAAUUCCUUGUCGGGUAAGUUCCGACCCGCACGAAAGGCGUAACGAUUUGGGCGCUGUCUCAACGAGGGACUCGGCGAACUUGUAGUGCCGGUAAAGAUGCCGGCUACCUGCGACAGGACAGAAAGACCCCGUGGAGCUUUACUGCAGCUUGACAUUGGAUUUUGGUAUUGCAUGUACAGGAUAGGUGGGAGGCUGAGAAGCCAGGGCGCCAGUUUUGGCAGAGCCACCGUUGGGAUACCACCCUUGUGAUAUUGAAAUUCUAACACGAGCCUUUGAAUCAAGGUUAUGGACAGUGUCAGGUGGGCAGUUUGACUGGGGCGGUCGCCUCCCAAAGAGUAACGGAGGCGCCCAAAGGUUCCCUCAGCGCGGUUGGAAAUCGCGCGCACAGAGUGUAAAGGCAGAAGGGAGCUUGACAGCGAGACAUACAGGUCGAGCUGGGACGAAAGUCGGGCUUAGUGAUCCGGCGGCAUUCGCGUGGAAGAGCCGUCGCUCAACGGAUAAAAGCUACCCCGGGGAUAACAGGCUUAUCUCCCCCAAGAGUCCACAUCGACGGGGAGGUUUGGCACCUCGAUGUCGGCUCAUCGCAUCCUGGGGCUGUAGUAGGUCCCAAGGGUUGGGCUGUUCGCCCAUUAAAGCGGUACGUGAGCUGGGUUCAGAACGUCGUGAGACAGUUCGGUCCCUAUCCGUCGCAGGCGCAGGAAACUUGCGAGGAGCUGUCCCUAGUACGAGAGGACCGGGAUGGACGGAUCACUGGCGUACCAGUUAUCGCGCCAGCGGUAGCGCUGGGUACCCAAAUCCGGCCGGGAUAAGCGCUGAAGGCAUCUAAGCGCGAAGCCCCCCUCUAGAUAAGGUUUCCCAUCCAGUUAAUGGAGUAAGACCCCUGGUAGACUACCAGGUAGAUAGGCCGGGCGUGCAAGCACAGCAAUGUGUGCAGCGGACCGGUACUAAUAGGUCGAGGGCUUGACCUG
Molecule: ribosomal RNA, 2948 nt
Rfam family: Bacterial large subunit ribosomal RNA
Source: Rfam